RNAcentral lists this small RNA (312 nucleotides) under Histoplasma ohiense. RNAcentral describes it as "hypothetical lncRNA". The record is from RNAcentral. Lineage: Eukaryota; Fungi; Ascomycota; Eurotiomycetes; Onygenales; Ajellomycetaceae.
CUCCCUUGGCGAGUUGGCAUCGCCGUCCUUUGCUCCCUGCCAACGUCUCGUGAUACAUCACGACCUUCUUUUCUCUUCCUCACUUGCGCUGUAUAUCCCAUCCCUUUCUUGUUCUUCCUCUUUCCUCGCCUUUUUGUUUCUUUUCCUAUUUUGUCUCUUUUUUUCUUUUCCUUUUCCUUUUUUUGCCAUAUUCUUAUUAACUUUCUUCUCCUAUCCCAACUUCAACUCAACCGGGGGCGGCGACUCUUCCGUUAACCAGUGGCACUUCCCUUUAGCCUCGCCUCUCCUCUCCUCUCCUCUCCUCUCCCCCUC